GAGGGUAUAGCUCAAGUGGUAGAGCGCAUACUUAGCAUGCUUGAAAUCCUGGGUUCAAUUCCCAGUACCUUCU
Molecule: transfer RNA, 73 nt
Organism: Camelus ferus (Wild Bactrian camel)
Lineage: Eukaryota; Metazoa; Chordata; Mammalia; Artiodactyla; Camelidae
Rfam family: tRNA
About the family: Transfer RNA (tRNA) molecules are approximately 80 nucleotides in length. Their secondary structure includes four short double-helical elements and three loops (D, anti-codon, and T loops). Further hydrogen bonds mediate the characteristic L-shaped molecular structure. tRNAs have two regions of fundamental functional importance: the anti-codon, which is responsible for specific mRNA codon recognition, and the 3' end, to which the tRNAs corresponding amino acid is attached (by aminoacyl-tRNA synthetases). tRNAs cope with the degeneracy of the genetic code in two manners: having more than one tRNA (with a specific anti-codon) for a particular amino acid; and 'wobble' base-pairing, i.e. permitting non-standard base-pairing at the 3rd anti-codon position.
Source: Rfam